RNAcentral lists this ribosomal RNA (753 nucleotides) under uncultured Comamonadaceae bacterium. Its description in RNAcentral is "bacterial SSU rRNA". It matches the Rfam family "Bacterial small subunit ribosomal RNA", at positions 28 to 776 of the family's 1533-position model. The record is from RNAcentral. Lineage: Bacteria; Pseudomonadati; Pseudomonadota; Betaproteobacteria; Burkholderiales; Comamonadaceae.
AUUGAACGCUGGCGGCAUGCCUUACACAUGCAAGUCGAACGGCAGCACGGGAGCAAUCCUGGUGGCGAGUGGCGAACGGGUGAGUAAUACAUCGGAACGUGCCCAAUCGUGGGGGAUAACGCAGCGAAAGCUGUGCUAAUACCGCAUACGAUCUACGGAUGAAAGCAGGGGAUCGCAAGACCUUGCGCGAAUGGAGCGGCCGAUGGCAGAUUAGGUAGUUGGUGAGGUAAAGGCUCACCAAGCCGUCGAUCUGUAGCUGGUCUGAGAGGACGACCAGCCACACUGGGACUGAGACACGGCCCAGACUCCUACGGGAGGCAGCAGUGGGGAAUUUUGGACAAUGGGCGAAAGCCUGAUCCAGCCAUGCCGCGUGCAGGAUGAGGGCCUUCGGGUUGUAAACUGCUUUUGUACGGAACGAAACGGCCUUUUCUAAUAAAGAGGGCUAAUGACGGUACCGUAAGAAUAAGCACCGGCUAACUACGUGCCAGCAGCCGCGGUAAUACGUAGGGUGCAAGCGUUAAUCGGAAUUACUGGGCGUAAAGCGUGCGCAGGCGGUUAUGUAAGACAGUUGUGAAAUCCCCGGGCUCAACCUGGGAACUGCAUCUGUGACUGCAUAGCUAGAGUACGGUAGAGGGGGAUGGAAUUCCGCGUGUAGCAGUGAAAUGCGUAGAUAUGCGGAGGAACACCGAUGGCGAAGGCAAUCCCCUGGACCUGUACUGACGCUCAUGCACGAAAGCGUGGGGAGCAAACAGG